Non-coding RNA from Cricetulus griseus (Chinese hamster), 2241 nucleotides. NCBI's taxonomy places the organism in Eukaryota, Metazoa, Chordata, Mammalia, Rodentia, Cricetidae. The record is from RefSeq and is a predicted model, not a curated record.
UGUGUGUGUGUCCUCUGUGUGUGUGUGGUGUGUGUGUGUCCUCUGUGUGUGUGUGUGUGUGUGUGUGUGUGUCCCGCAGGAGGACGUGGCUUCUUGCAGGUUUCUCUUGGGCACCCUCUGGAGCUAUUUAGUGAUGCUUCCUCUUCCUGCCAUUUCCCAUCCCGUUCAUGGACUUUUCCCUGUGCGUUACUCUCCUGGUUUGGAAAGGCUCCAGGGUAAGCUUGAGAAGGAAAAACUAACUCCCUACCAACCGUGUGCUGUGAGCAAACACUGUCUCACUCUCCAACAGGACCGCGGCAGCCUGGGCCUAUGCUGAGGAGCCCACUGUGCCUCUGAGGGCAGGGAUGAUUCCCUAGCAAAGUGUCUGCACCCCAGAGAGGGAUUUCCCUACUAGAUGACGGAGGUACCUUCUGGUUGUCUAUCAGUCACCAUCGGCUUGAAUGACUGACUGUAGCACCAGUGUGUUCCCCUCUCCCUCACCUACAUAUGGACAACUCUCAGUCACCACACACAGUGGGACUUAGCUGGUAGUAUACAUUCUGUCAGGUGUAGUCAUUCAGUGACCAUCUCCUGUAUGCAGAACACUGCCUACCGGUCCAGCGCAUGGAGAAGGCUGAGGCAGUCCUAUUCUUAGUCUCCAGGCACAGGGUUUUAAGUGUAUAUGCUACGGCUGAGCCUCACAUGAGCUUGGGCUACCAUCUUUAUGUUUGGAAGGUUUCAAUUUCUCAUUCAAUUAGGAAAGUGUGCCCCAACCUGCAGGAGAUGCCACUGGUCGGAUCUGUCACCUUCCCCAGAUACAGAGGCAAACCCAAGUUGCUUUUCUGGCUUAACAGUGGACACCUGUUUCUGCACUUAGCAGUCAUUCUCAUGGCUUUCAACCUUAGGAUGUAAGAGUGCACAUAUCCUGAUUCCCUCAGGAGGCUUACAAUCAUGGGUAUAUGGUUUUACCUGGUUCUUUUCUUAACUUUUUUUUUUUCUUGACAGUAUUUCUCUAUGUAUCUCUGGCUGUCCUGGAACUCUGUGUAUACCAAGCUGGCCUUCCUUGAACUUACACAGAUCUGCCUGCCUCUGCCUCUGCCUCUGCCUCCCCAGUGCUGGGCUUAAAAGUGUGCAGACCACACCUGGUCCACAUUAAGCAUCCUAAGCAUAACUGAUGUGUGGUAGUACUGGGGGGUAGAUUCCUGGAAAGUGUAAUCUCCGGGUGAAUUAGGACAUUAUUUUACAUGUUUCUUUUACAGAAUAAUAGUAUUUGCUUUCCUCUCCCUUUAAGACUGUAAAAUCAACAGUAAAAUCUGUUAGUCUAAUGUAUGAGAUAUUCUGUGCAUUUGUUCCCGGGUGGUUCUUUUGCGUUCUGUAGAAGCUGUGUCUGUGAGUAGGUAUCAAUGGCUGGGGUAUUUUCUGUUCGCCUUCCUGACACUGACGCUGGAGUGGGUGUGUAACUUUUCUCACACCAGCUGGUCUUUCUGCCCAGCGGACAGCUCAGCACUUUCACCAUCUGGUCAGUGUCAAACGGUGUGCAUGUGAGGACCCUGUACUCCAGGCCUGCCCUCACUUCAUUGCUGGUCACCAGGAUGCCACUCCACUUCUGUCUGGCGUGGCUACCCAGUUGUGCUUGGUAACGGGCCACAGUGGUUCCCCAGGCCAGGUCACUGUUUGACACAGUUAACUGCUCCUUACCAAGGACACAGAACACAGCAGAAGAUGUGGUCUGAGGAGCGCUGAGCAGGUUGCCUGCCACACUGCCCACAAUGCUCACAGCAACCCUCGGGAUCUGACCAUUUGCGUAUUCCAUUACACAGGCAACUGCCAGUCAACCUCCCACACCAAAGGCUGAAGUGUGGAGCUGGCUGUUACAAGCUCCUAAAUGGACUGUGGUCUUCAGAGAAAAAAGAGCUUCCACCCUGGGUUUAAUACGUAGGGGUCUACCAAGAGUUGUCUUGUCAGUGCUGGGAAGGAAUGAGCCCUGGGACCCAUGUGAAAACGAGGAAAUCCCAAGUGUUUUAGAGCUGUGUGCUAGGAACGAGACACCAAGACUACACAUCUUCCUAGGAUCCUGCACUGACCUUAGCCUGGUUUUGUCUGCAUCUUCGUAACUUAGAACCCCGAGGCAUAGUGGGAUGUCCAUCUUCCUUGCUGAAAAUGCUUCCACCUCUGUUCUUUAGCCUAUGUCUGCCAUCUACCCGCGAUUGUUUGAUGUAUUUAGUUUCUGUCGCUGUGAUUAAAAACCCGGACAAAAAGUGA